CAACUCGAGCCAUUGCAUUACACUGCCGAGAUCGGAUUUCCAGCGCCGUCGCUAGAGAAUUAAAGUAAUCGGAUUUUCCGGAGGCGCGAGGCGGCGGAGUGAUGGCCGCUAUCAAGGAGCUGACACGCGAUCUAGAGAACAAAGCCAACGAUUUCAGAAAACUUGAGAAAGAUAUUCAGAAGAACCAGCAAGUGAAAAAGAAGUACACCAUUCAGCUCGGCGAAAACGAGCUCGUGCUCAAGGAACUGGAUUUGUUGAACGAGGACACGAAUGUGUACAAAUUGAUUGGUCCGGUGCUAGUGAAGCAGGAUUUGGCUGAGGCUAAUGCCAAUGUUCGGAAGCGGAUUGAAUAUAUCUCUGCCGAAUUGAAACGCUUAGAUAGUACUCUUCAAGAUUUACAAGAAAAACUAAAUAGCAAGCAAGAAUCGAUUGCCAAGCUACAACAAAGAAUCCAGGCUCUUCAAGCUGGAAAAGCAAAGGCCUAAUAUGGAAAGGAAUACGUGCUAGCCAUAGAAAUGCUCAAAUUUGGUAUCAAAUGAACUCUCUAGAGAUGUCACGUUUAUAGAAGAAUAUUCUCAUGAUUACAGGUUUCUGUAAAAGUGAUGGUUGUUUUCAAAUGUCUGAAUUUGGAGAACCGUCUUCGAUGCCAUAUUAACUGGCAAUCAGCUUAUGUGUCUGUGGGUAAGGCUGAACAUAGUGGCUGCUCUCUCAUCUCUCACUUACCACAUUCAUGAAGCAACUUCUGAAUGGAAGGCAUGAUUUUGAUGCUGGACAAUCGUGGAUAAAUUCUCAUGCAUAUAUACCAUGAUGACAUUCUUGAAUCUUGAAACUUAAGGCCCCACGUAGCACUCGGGGCCGAUUAUGUGUUUGCGUACUUGAUAGAUCUUUCAGAUUUUGGUCUUGUUAGUGUGUUGCAGAGGUUAUUUUUUGCAGUUUUCUUUCCAGUUCUGGAUCCUGUUAGUAUAUAUCAAAAUUUAUUAUUUGGGACGUU
Molecule: RNA transcript, 991 nt
Organism: Salvia hispanica
Lineage: Eukaryota; Viridiplantae; Streptophyta; Magnoliopsida; Lamiales; Lamiaceae
Gene name: prefoldin subunit 6-like
Source: RefSeq, a predicted model, not a curated record